This 258-nucleotide ribosomal RNA is filed under the name Ixodes ventalloi. RNAcentral's name for it is "partial large subunit ribosomal RNA". The record is from RNAcentral. Lineage: Eukaryota; Metazoa; Arthropoda; Arachnida; Ixodida; Ixodidae.
AGUGCUAAGAGAAUGGUUGAACAAUUAAAGACUUUCUUUAAUUAAAAAAUUAAAUUUAAUUUUUUAAAGCGCAAAAGCAAAAAUGAAAAUUUGGGACAAGAAGACCCUAUGAAUUUUUAUUUAUUUUUUAAUUUUUAAAAAUUAAAAAAUAAAUUUGAUUGGGGCGAUGGAUAAAGAGUAGAUAUCUUUAUUUAAAUUUAAAAAAUUAGUUCCGUUUGUAGCGAUUAAAUGAAAAAAAUACUCUAGGGAUAACAGCGU